RNAcentral lists this ribosomal RNA (497 nucleotides) under uncultured bacterium. RNAcentral's name for it is "partial 16S ribosomal RNA". It matches the Rfam family "Bacterial small subunit ribosomal RNA", at positions 28 to 507 of the family's 1533-position model. The record is from RNAcentral.
GAUGAACGCUGGCGGCGUGCCUAAUACAUGCAAGUCGAGCGAACAGACGAGGAGCUUGCUCCUUUGACGUUAGCGGCGGACGGGUGAGUAACACGUGGGUAACCUACCUAUAAGACUGGGAUAACUUCGGGAAACCGGAGCUAAUACCGGAUAAUAUUUCGAACCGCAUGGUUCGAUAGUGAAAGAUGGCUCUGCUAUCACUUAUAGAUGUACCUGCGCCGUAUUAGCUAGUUGGUAAGGUAACGGCUUACCAAGGCAACGAUGCGUAGCCGACCUGAGAGGGUGAUCGGCCACACUGGAACUGAGACACGGUCCAGACUCCUACGGGAGGCAGCAGUAGGGAAUCUUCCGCAAUGGGCGAAAGCCUGACGGAGCAACGCCGCGUGAGUGAUGAAGGUCUUCGGAUCGUAAAACUCUGUUAUUAGGGAAGAACAAACGUGUAAGUAACUGUGCACGUCUUGACGGUACCUAAUCAGAAAGCCACGGCUAACUACGUG